Bufo gargarizans (Asiatic toad) is the source of this 182-nucleotide small nuclear RNA. RefSeq annotates it as U2 spliceosomal RNA. The record is from RefSeq and is a predicted model, not a curated record. Lineage: Eukaryota; Metazoa; Chordata; Amphibia; Anura; Bufonidae. The transcript has a single exon.
UUUACUUUGAUAUUUUUAAUAAAAAAAAGGAUCUGUUCUUAUCAGUUUAAUAUCUGAUACGUCCCCUAUCUGGGGACCAUAUAUUAAAUGGAUUUUUCGAACAGGGAGAUGGAAAAAGAGCUUGCUCUGUCCACUCCACGCAUUGACCUGGUAUUGCAGUACCUCCAGGACCUGCCUGCCUC